ACUAGUUGCAGUGAUGAUACAUGUGAAUCCCAACUCAUUAUGAGGCCUUUUGUGGUCUGGGAAUUGCUUCAUCCACAUGUAUCUGAGCCUUGAU
Small nucleolar RNA from Argentina anserina (silverweed cinquefoil), 94 nucleotides. The record is from RefSeq and is a predicted model, not a curated record. NCBI's taxonomy places the organism in Eukaryota, Viridiplantae, Streptophyta, Magnoliopsida, Rosales, Rosaceae.